This 308-nucleotide ribosomal RNA is filed under the name uncultured eukaryote. RNAcentral's name for it is "partial 18S ribosomal RNA". It matches the Rfam family "Eukaryotic small subunit ribosomal RNA", at positions 1470 to 1796 of the family's 1831-position model. The record is from RNAcentral.
CCCUUAGACGUUCUGGGCCGCACGCGCGCUACACUGACGAAGGCAACGAGCUUUCCUUUACCGAAAGGUACGGGUAAUCUUUUGAAACUUCGUCGUGCUGGGGAUAGAUCCUUGCAAUUUUUGAUCUUAAACGAGGAAUUCCUAGUAAGCGCAAGUCAUCAACUUGCGUUGAUUACGUCCCUGCCCUUUGUACACACCGCCCGUCGCUACUACCGAUUGAAUGGUUUAGUGAGGCCUUCGGAUCCGCGACUCGUUUUGUGGAGAAGUUGGACAAACUCAGUCAUUUAGAGGAAGUAAAAGGCGUAACA